UGGUUCCAGCAGCUGAGUUCUUCAACAGAUCCAUUGAUUCAGUGAUGCUUUACAUGCACGGUUACAAAAAUAAAACUUACAAAAGAGAAGACAUCUAUACUAGUUUUACAUGCAAGUCUUGGGGACCCCCCAUUGGGCACCAGCUAUUGUGUGGAACUGCCAUAAGCGUGCAACCAGAGAGGGGGUUCAUGUUAUAUUUUGUAUUUCUUUCACACAGUAUUACUGCUGUCAAAUGCGUUUCACAAAGGAGCAAUUCCACGAUCAGAAGACAGAAGGUUUGGCUCCUGGCACUUGGGAAUCUGAACCUUCCCGGGAAGCUGCACUUAGUUUAUCUUCUGUGAGAACACAAGUUCCACAAUGGAGAAAAGGGAAAAGGUCGGUUCGUAUCGUCACAACUGGCUGAUGUGUGGAGCAACGCUUCGGUUCCAGAAUAUCAGAGUUCCUCCAGUGUUAAUACAGAGCAUUUCCUAUCCAUCGCAAAGGAGAUUCUUCUGCAUUUCUGGUUUUGUGUGUAAGGACAAUUUAACAGGUAAAGUCCUGAUUCCAUACAAUAAAUGGAGGUUAUGAGCUGCCCAAAGCCACAGCAUGAGAACCAUUCGGUUUUACCUUUUUUUUUUUUAAUUGAAUCAGGUCAUAAAGCAGCAAUUCAGAAAUGUACAAUAGAAUUCUGAUAAUGAGCUAUAGCACACACCUACUGUAAUUCAAUGCUGGCAGUGAAAAGAA
Molecule: long non-coding RNA, 723 nt
Filed under: Gallus gallus (chicken)
Lineage: Eukaryota; Metazoa; Chordata; Aves; Galliformes; Phasianidae
Description: long non-coding RNA NONGGAT004832
Source: RNAcentral